This 517-nucleotide ribosomal RNA is filed under the name uncultured bacterium. RNAcentral's name for it is "bacterial SSU rRNA". It matches the Rfam family "Bacterial small subunit ribosomal RNA", at positions 992 to 1509 of the family's 1533-position model. The record is from RNAcentral.
AGAACUUAGCAGAGAUGCUUUGGUGCCUUCGGGAACUCUGAGACAGGUGCUGCAUGGCUGUCGUCAGCUCGUGUUGUGAAAUGUUGGGUUAAGUCCCGCAACGAGCACAACCCUUAUCCUUUGUUGCCAGCGGUCCGGCCGGGAACUCAAAGGAGACUGCCAGUGAUAAACUGGAGGAAGGUGGGGAUGACGUCAAGUCAUCAUGGCCCUUACGAGUAGGGCUACACACGUGCUACAAUGGCGCAUACAAAGAGAAGCGACCUCGCGAGAGCAAGCGGACCUCAUAAAGUGCGUCGUAGUCCGGAUUGGAGUCUGCAACUCGACUCCAUGAAGUCGGAAUCGCUAGUAAUCGUGGAUCAGAAUGCCACGGUGAAUACGUUCCCGGGCCUUGUACACACCGCCCGUCACACCAUGGGAGUGGGUUGCAAAAGAAGUAGGUAGCUUAACCUUCGGGAGGGCGCUUACCACUUUGUGAUUCAUGACUGGGGUGAAGUCGUAACAAGGUAAGCGUAGUGCU